Chrysemys picta bellii (western painted turtle) is the source of this 768-nucleotide long non-coding RNA. RefSeq lists it as uncharacterized. NCBI's taxonomy places the organism in Eukaryota, Metazoa, Chordata, Testudines, Emydidae. The record is from RefSeq and is a predicted model, not a curated record.
AGGGAAUGCAGAAGACAAGACUGGGCAGGAGGAGCCGGAGGUGCAGAAGAAUCCUGGAUGCCGUGGAAGACAGUGACUACGAUCCAAAGGACGCUCAGGAGGGAUUUCUAGAACAAGUCCUCCAUCUCCCAGUGGCCACCACUCCUAAGGUAUCAGCCUAGGGACAUUUCACUUGUCUGAAGAAAUUGAUGACUACCCAGUGGUGUACGCGUAAUAAGAAGUUUUAAAGCUGCAUGGUGUGGAGCAGCAAGAAACCUCAGAGUCCACACCACUUUAAAAACAAUAACAACAACCCCACAGGAAACCCAGUAUUGUUAUGUCUUGACAGUACAACACACCAAGAAGCAGCAUGGUCUUAUGGUUAAGGCACUGAAUUUGCACUCAAGAGAUUUGGGUUAGAUUCCUAGCUCAGCUACAGACUUCCUGUGUGAUCUUCCCAAGUUGCUUGUUCUCUCUGUAAAAUGGGGAUAACAACACCUCCAUUCUUUCACUUUUUGUCGGCCUCUUCAAGUAAGGUCUCUUACUAAGUGUCUGUGCAAUGCCUAGUGCAAUGGGACCCUGAUCUCAGGUGGGACCCUAGGCUCUGCUGCAAUAGAAAUAAAUAACGAAACAAGCAGCCACUAGGAAAUGAAACUGACUUUGUGCAGAAGAACAAUACUCCUACAAGACUGAAACAACAUGCUGCUUAGUGUGGCAAUGAAACAACUGAGAUUCCAGAAAACCGCCUUUGCAACAGAACCCAUCUGUCAGCACCUACAGGUGUGCAGC